CACACAUAAAAACAUUUGUGGGAUGGAUGAACUGCAGAAAACAUGAGGCGCUGAAGGACUGUGCUGUUCAACAGGUCAUGAGUUCAUUACCUGCAGCUUUUCGUCUAUACGACCCGACAAACAUGUUAAUCUGCACAGGGAAGAGAGUUUGACCAUGGACAGGAUCAGAACUAGUUUGGUGAAGGUGUCUGGAAAAAGCUGAAAAACGGUGAAAAAAACAAAACAGGACAACAGCCGGUAGUGAAAAGGACAACCACUGAAGAA
RNAcentral lists this long non-coding RNA (264 nucleotides) under Neogobius melanostomus (round goby). Its description in RNAcentral is "lncRNA (ENSNMLG00000004878.1)". Lineage: Eukaryota; Metazoa; Chordata; Actinopteri; Gobiiformes; Gobiidae. The record is from RNAcentral.